This 420-nucleotide ribosomal RNA is filed under the name uncultured bacterium. RNAcentral's name for it is "bacterial SSU rRNA". It matches the Rfam family "Bacterial small subunit ribosomal RNA", at positions 356 to 773 of the family's 1533-position model. The record is from RNAcentral.
GAGGAAUAUUGGUCAAUGGACGCAAGUCUGAACCAGCCAUGCCGCGUGAAGGAUGAAGGCCUUCUGGGUUGUAAACUUCUUUUAUCAGGGAAGAAAAUUACGGUUUCUACUGUAACCGACGGUACCUGAGGAAUAAGCACCGGCUAACUCCGUGCCAGCAGCCGCGGUAAUACGGAGGGUGCAAGCGUUAUCCGGAUUCACUGGGUUUAAAGGGUGUGUAGGCGGAUAUUUAAGUCAGUGGUGAAAUCUCCGGGCUCAACCCGGAAACUGCCAUUGAUACUAUUUAGCUUGAAUACUGUUGAGGUAGGCGGAAUAUAUCACGUAGCGGUGAAAUGCUUAGAUAUGAUAUAGAACACCGAUUGCGAAGGCAGCUUACUAAGCAGUUAUUGACGCUGAGGCACGAAAGCGUGGGGAUCAAAC